GCUGCCGCGCUUUCCUCUGCCCGACACCGCUGCACGCCGUUGCAGCAACCGCUCGAGCCCGCUUAGCACCGCCAGCCGCCGUCCCCUUUUGAACGACGCCACCACAGCAGCUCGCUGCCCGCUCCAAGCUUGCUGCCCUUCGCCGGAGCUCCGACGACCGUGCCCACCGCCCACGAUCGCCCGUCACAACAAUACCAGCCAUCCCAGCCGUGGGCUGAGUCUCCAUCGUGGUCCAUAAAACACCACCCAUUAAGGCAAAUUUGGAAAAAGUUCAAACUAGGUAGGUUUAUUUUAUUAGGUAGAUCUAUUUUAU
This 313-nucleotide long non-coding RNA is filed under the name Eucalyptus grandis. Its description in RNAcentral is "long non-coding RNA (EGRA_LNC002274)". The record is from RNAcentral. Lineage: Eukaryota; Viridiplantae; Streptophyta; Magnoliopsida; Myrtales; Myrtaceae.